Non-coding RNA from Daphnia pulex (common water flea), 74 nucleotides. NCBI's taxonomy places the organism in Eukaryota, Metazoa, Arthropoda, Branchiopoda, Diplostraca, Daphniidae. The record is from Rfam.
GCUUCCGUAGUGUAGUUGGUUAUCACGUCUGCUUUACACGCAGAAGGUCCUCAGUUCGAACCUGAGCGGAAGCA